This 253-nucleotide ribosomal RNA is filed under the name uncultured bacterium. Its description in RNAcentral is "partial 16S ribosomal RNA". It matches the Rfam family "Bacterial small subunit ribosomal RNA", at positions 524 to 776 of the family's 1533-position model. The record is from RNAcentral.
UACGUAGGCAGCAAGCGUUGUUCGGAAUUACUGGGCGUAAAGAGUGUGUAGGCGGUGUUCUAAGUUUUUCGUGAAAUCUCCCGGCUUAACUGGGAGGGUGCGGCGAAAACUGGAAUGCUAGAGGAUGGGAGAGGUAAGCGGAAUUCCUGGUGUAGCGGUGAAAUGCGUAGAUAUCAGGAGGAACACCUGUGGUGUAGACAGCUUACUGGACCAUUUCUGACGCUGAGACACGAAAGCGUGGGUAGCAAACAGG